This 301-nucleotide ribosomal RNA is filed under the name uncultured bacterium. RNAcentral's name for it is "partial 16S ribosomal RNA". It matches the Rfam family "Bacterial small subunit ribosomal RNA", at positions 509 to 807 of the family's 1533-position model. The record is from RNAcentral.
CAGUCGCCGCGGGAAUACGUAGGGUGCGAGCGUUAAUCGGAAUUACUGGGCGUAAAGCGUGCGCAGGCGGUUCGUUAAGACAGAUGUGAAAUCCCCGGGCUUAACCUGGGAACUGCAUUUGUGACUGGCGAGCUAGAGUAUGGCAGAGGGGGGUAGAAUUCCACGUGUAGCAGUGAAAUGCGUAGAGAUGUGGAGGAAUACCGAUGGCGAAGACAGCCCCCUGGGCCAAUACUGACGCUCAUGCACGGAAGCGUGGGGAGCAAACAGGAUUAGAUACCCGCGUAGUCCCUGUCUCUUAUAC